RNAcentral lists this unclassified non-coding RNA (187 nucleotides) under uncultured Sordariomycetes. Its description in RNAcentral is "sequence contains ITS1". The record is from RNAcentral. Lineage: Eukaryota; Fungi; Ascomycota; Sordariomycetes.
CGAGAGGGUUCGCGAGAACUCCCCAAACCCGCUGUGAACGUACCUGAUGGUCUGCCUCGGCAGGCGGUCCCCGGGGGGACCCCAAGCCCGCCUUCGGGCGGGUGCCUGCCGCAAGUCCACUGUAAACUCUGCUGUACUAGUCGUCUGAGAACAAGAAGCCCGCUGGAAAGCGGUGCAAAUCUAGUUA